Molecule: ribosomal RNA, 468 nt
Filed under: uncultured bacterium
Lineage: Bacteria
Description: partial 16S ribosomal RNA
Rfam family: Bacterial small subunit ribosomal RNA
Source: RNAcentral
GACGAACGCUGGCGGCGUGCUUAACACAUGCAAGUCGAACGGAAAGGCCCUGUUCUUGUGGGGUGCUCGAGUGGCGAACGGGUGAGUAUCACGUGAGUAACCUGCCCCUGACUUUGGGAUAACUUCUGGAAACUGGGGCUCUUACCGGAUAUGAGCUCCUGCUGCAUGGUGGUGGUUGGAGAGUUUCGGCGGUUGGGGAUGGACUCGCGGCUUAUCAGCUUGUUGGUGGGGUAGUGGCUUACCAAGGCUUUGACGGGUAGCCGGCCUGAGAGGGUGACCGGCCACAUUGGGACUGGGAUGCGGCCAAGACUCCUACGGGAGGCAGCAGUGGGGGAUAGUGCACAAUGGGCGGAAGCCUGAUGCAGCAACGCCGCGUGCGGGAUGACGGCCGUCGGGUUGUAAACCGCGUUCGCCUGUGACGAAGCGUGAGUGACGGUAAUGGGUAAAGAAGCACCGGCUAACUACGUG